AGAUUAUGGUGAGGAAAGCACUUCUACAGUUCUUUAAACCUAUCACAUGCUUCAUAGAGUUUCUCCCCUUCAUAUUGCUAAAAAGUAACGAUUUCCUUUAUCACUUU
Mercurialis annua (annual mercury) is the source of this 107-nucleotide small nucleolar RNA. The record is from RefSeq and is a predicted model, not a curated record. NCBI's taxonomy places the organism in Eukaryota, Viridiplantae, Streptophyta, Magnoliopsida, Malpighiales, Euphorbiaceae.